RNAcentral lists this ribosomal RNA (449 nucleotides) under uncultured organism. Its description in RNAcentral is "partial 16S ribosomal RNA". It matches the Rfam family "Bacterial small subunit ribosomal RNA", at positions 332 to 797 of the family's 1533-position model. The record is from RNAcentral.
UACACUCCUACGGGAGGCAGCAGUGGGGAAUAUUGGACAAUGGGCGCAAGCCUGAUCCAGCCAUGCCGCGUGAGUGAUGAAGGCCCUAGGGUUGUAAAGCUCUUUCACCGGUGAAGAUAAUGACGGUAACCGGAGAAGAAGCCCCGGCUAACUUCGUGCCAGCAGCCGCGGUAAUACGAAGGGGGCUAGCGUUGUUCGGAUUUACUGGGCGUAAAGCGCACGUAGGCGGACUAUUAAGUCAGGGGUGAAAUCCCGGGGCUCAACCCCGGAACUGCCUUUGAUACUGGUAGUCUUGAGUUCGAGAGAGGUGAGUGGAAUUCCGAGUGUAGAGGUGAAAUUCGUAGAUAUUCGGAGGAACACCAGUGGCGAAGGCGGCUCACUGGCUCGAUACUGACUCUGAGGUGCGAAAGCGUGGGGAGCAAACAGGAUUAGAAACCCCUGUAGUCCCA